This 472-nucleotide ribosomal RNA is filed under the name uncultured Sporacetigenium sp. Its description in RNAcentral is "partial 16S ribosomal RNA". The record is from RNAcentral. Lineage: Bacteria; Bacillati; Bacillota; Clostridia; Peptostreptococcales; Tepidibacteraceae.
CACGUAGUUAGCCGGGGCUUCCUCCUCAAGUACCGUCAUUAUCUUCCUUGAGGACAGAGCUUUACGACCCGAAGGCCUUCAUCGCUCACGCGGCGUUGCUGCAUCAGGCUUUCGCCCAUUGUGCAAUAUUCCCCACUGCUGCCUCCCGUAGGAGUUUGGACCGUGUCUCAGUUCCAAUGUGGCCGAUCACCCUCUCAGGUCGGCUACUGAUCGUCGCCUUGGUAAGCCGUUACCUUACCAACUAGCUAAUCAGACGCGGGUCCAUCCUGUACCGCAAAAGCUUUGAUACUUCUACCAUGCGAUAAAAGUAUUUUAUCUCGUAUUAGCAUACCUUUCGGUAUGUUAUCCGUGUGUACAGGGCAGGUUACCCACGCGUUACUCACCCGUCCGCCGCUCUUUACCGAAGUAAAUCGCUCGACUUGCAUGUGUUAGGCACGCCGCCAGCGUUCAUCCUGAGCCAGGAUCAAACUCU